UAGUAAAAAUUUUAUCCAUUUGUGUUAUUAAAAAUCGGCAUGACAUGUGACAUGCCAUGUGUACCUUAUGCUAACAUACAAAGACCAGUUUUUAACUUAUGCUAACAUACAACUACCAGUUUUUAACAGUAAAAAUUGAUAGAAUUUUUAAUA
This 153-nucleotide microRNA precursor is filed under the name Gossypium arboreum. Its description in RNAcentral is "MIR7502 microRNA precursor family". It matches the Rfam family "MIR7502 microRNA precursor family". The record is from Rfam by way of RNAcentral. Lineage: Eukaryota; Viridiplantae; Streptophyta; Magnoliopsida; Malvales; Malvaceae.